AUUGAACGCUGGCGGCAUGCCUUACACAUGCAAGUCGAACGGCAGCACGGGAGCAAUCCUGGUGGCGAGUGGCGAACGGGUGAGUAAUAUAUCGGAACGUGCCCAGUCGUGGGGGAUAACGCAGCGAAAGCUGCGCUAAUACCGCAUACGAUCUCUGGAUGAAAGCGGGGGACUCGCAAGAGCCUCGCGCGAUUGGAGCGGCCGAUAUCAGAUUAGCUAGUUGGUGGGGUAAAAGCUCACCAAGGCGACGAUCUGUAGCUGGUCUGAGAGGACGACCAGCCACACUGGAACUGAGACACGGUCCAGACUCCUACGGGAGGCAGCAGUGGGGAAUUUUGGACAAUGGGCGCAAGCCUGAUCCAGCAAUGCCGCGUGCAGGAUGAAGGCCUUCGGGUUGUAAACUGCUUUUGUACGGAACGAAACGGCUCUUUCUAAUAAAGAGGGCUAAUGACGGUACCGUAAGAAUAAGCACCGGCUAACUAC
This 483-nucleotide ribosomal RNA is filed under the name uncultured bacterium. Its description in RNAcentral is "bacterial SSU rRNA". It matches the Rfam family "Bacterial small subunit ribosomal RNA", at positions 30 to 504 of the family's 1533-position model. The record is from RNAcentral.